GAUGAACGCUGGCGGCGUGCCUAAUACAUGCAAGUCGAGCGAACAGACGAGGAGCUUGCUCCUCUGACGUUAGCGGCGGACGGGUGAGUAACACGUGGAUAACCUACCUAUAAGACUGGGAUAACUUCGGGAAACCGGAGCUAAUACCGGAUAAUACAUUGAACCGCAUGGUUCAAUAGUAAAAGACGGUUUUGCUGUCACUUAUAGAUGGAUCCGCGCCGCAUUAGCUAGUUGGUAAGGUAACGGCUUACCAAGGCAACGAUGCGUAGCCGACCUGAGAGGGUGAUCGGCCACACUGGAACUGAGACACGGUCCAGACUCCUACGGGAGGCAGCAGUAGGGAAUCUUCCGCAAUGGGCGAAAGCCUGACGGAGCAACGCCGCGUGAGUGAUGAAGGUCUUCGGAUCGUAAAACUCUGUUAUUAGGGAAGAACAAAUGUGUAAGUAACUAUGCACGUCUUGACGGUACCUAAUCAGAAAGCCACGGCUAACUACGUG
Molecule: ribosomal RNA, 497 nt
Filed under: uncultured bacterium
Lineage: Bacteria
Description: partial 16S ribosomal RNA
Rfam family: Bacterial small subunit ribosomal RNA
Source: RNAcentral